CAGUCGCCGCGGUAAUACAGAGGGUGCAAGCGUUAAUCGGAAUUACUGGGCGUAAAACGCGCGUAGGUGGUUCGCCAAGUUGGAUGUGAAAUCCCCGGGCUCAACCUGGGAACUGCAUCCAAAACUGGCGAGCUAGAGUAUGGUAGAGGGUGGUGGAAUUUCCUGUGUAGCGGUGAAAUGCGUAGAUAUAGGAAGGAACAUCAGUGGCGAAGGCGACCACCUGGACUGAUACUGACACUGAGGUGCGAAAGCGUGGGGAGCAAACAGGAUUAGAUACCCGCGUAGUCCCUGUCUCUUAUAC
RNAcentral lists this ribosomal RNA (301 nucleotides) under uncultured bacterium. RNAcentral describes it as "partial 16S ribosomal RNA". It matches the Rfam family "Bacterial small subunit ribosomal RNA", at positions 509 to 807 of the family's 1533-position model. The record is from RNAcentral.